This is a non-coding RNA of Acanthosepion pharaonis, 113 nucleotides long. NCBI's taxonomy places the organism in Eukaryota, Metazoa, Mollusca, Cephalopoda, Sepiida, Sepiidae. The record is from the annotation of a GenBank genome assembly.
UACAGCCAUAUCCCCUUGAAACACAGGUUCCUGUAUGAUCACUGAAGUUAAGCAUCGUCGAGUAUGGUUAGUAGCUAGAUGGGUAACGGCUUGGAAAUACCAGGUACUGUAAG